RNAcentral lists this ribosomal RNA (316 nucleotides) under Mimetus sp. GH1409. RNAcentral describes it as "partial 12S ribosomal RNA". The record is from RNAcentral. Lineage: Eukaryota; Metazoa; Arthropoda; Arachnida; Araneae; Mimetidae.
AUUUUUACACCCAGGUAGUAAGGACCACUUAAACCUAUGUUUAAUGGCGGCAUUUUUUCUUACUAGAGGAACAUGCUAUAUAAUCGACAACACACGAUUAAUUUUACUAUUUUCUAAAUUUUAUAUACCUCCGUCCUAAUCUUCUCACAUUUUUCAAAAAAACUCUAAAAGGGUAGGUAAAGGUGUAAACCAUGAAAUAGGCUUAAAUGUGUUACAUUAAAAAAAAUUUAAGGCUAAUAUACUAAUUUUUUUUUAAAAAAGGAUUUAGAAGUAAUAUUUUUAUAGUAUUUAAAUUUGAAUAAGGAAAUAUAUGUGC